AUGGAUCAUGAAUUCCCAGAGGGAUUUAAACUGGUGAACAUUGAAUCAUAUGAUGGUACAAUAGACCCCGCGGUAUGGAUUGAAGAUUUCCUCCUUCACAUCCACAUGGCCCGCGGUGACGAUCUACAUGCCAUCAAGUACCUCCCACUAAAACUCCAAGGACCGGCUCGGCAUUGGCUGAAUAGCUUGCCAGCAAACUCCAUUGGCAGUUGGGAGAAUUUGGAAGACGCAUUCCUUGACAACUUCCAGGGCACUUAUGUGCGACCACCGGAUGCUGAUGACUUGAGUCACAUAACCCAACAGCCAGGAGAAUCGGCCAGGAAAUUAUGGACCCGGUUCCUAACUAAAAAGAACCAAAUUGUCGACUGUCCGGAUGCCGAGGCCUUAGCAGCAUUUAAGCAUAACAUCCGUGACGAGUGGCUCGCCCGACACCUCGGCCAAGAGAAGCCGAAGUCUAUGGCAGCCCUCACGGCACUCAUGACCCGCUUUUGCGCGGGCGAGGACAGCUGGCUGGCUCACAGCAACAACACAUCAAGAAAUCCUAGCAAUUCAGAUGCCAAAGAUAGCAACGGCAGACCACGUCGCAACAGACACAAGCUCCGCAACAACGGCGACAACGCCGAAGACACGACAGUCAAUGCCGGAUUCAGUGGCUCUAAAUCUGGUCAGCGGAAAAAGCCGUUCAAAAGAAGCAAUCCGGGCCCGUCAGUUUGGACCGCAUACUCGAUCGCUCGUGUCAAAUUCACGGCACCCCCGAUAAGCCAGCCAACCACACCAACAGAGAAUGUUGGGUGUUCAAACAGGCCGGCAAGUUGA
This 816-nucleotide ribosomal RNA is filed under the name Triticum aestivum (bread wheat). Its description in RNAcentral is "partial small subunit ribosomal RNA". Lineage: Eukaryota; Viridiplantae; Streptophyta; Magnoliopsida; Poales; Poaceae. The record is from RNAcentral.